This 28-nucleotide unclassified non-coding RNA is filed under the name Mus musculus (house mouse). RNAcentral's name for it is "oocyte_clustered_small_RNA5152". Lineage: Eukaryota; Metazoa; Chordata; Mammalia; Rodentia; Muridae. The record is from RNAcentral.
UUCCAAAUAUAGUCCAGUUGACAACCAG